CGAAAAGCGCGGGAGAGGAAGAGGGAGAGGGUGUUUUCUUGGAGUGAAACGGAAAGUGAGCGAGAGGGAGAGGGGGCGACUAAGCGAGGCUGUUCUUGCGCUCUGUUAAUGGCAGAUACCCUUUUCCUUUGAUAUUUGGUUCCAUGUGGAAUCCGCUCUCUCGAGUUAUCCUCCUGUCAUUCUGCGAAUCUGGUUGCACCGGCAAGAAAGAACAUGGGCGCGCAAGGAAUGGCUCAUUCAAUGCCGGAAAUUAUGCAGGUAUGCCUUGUUCAGUAUUCCAAGGUGGUGCAUGCUUGUGUUGCUCUGGUGGGCUCGUAUGAAAAUGGGCGCCGUGAUUCUGCUGGAGUGAGGAUUAAAGUUUGCAGGGCUGUCGAAAGAUGUUUUUACUCUCAGCUCAUCUUGGCGAAGAAGGGUCCUCUGGGGCCGAUAUGAGUUGCUGCUUAUUUUUGAGAGGAAGCUGAGGAGGAAAAAACAGGUCGCGGACACGGACAUCGCCGUCUCUGUAGUAUUCGACUCUAAAGUGGCGCGUCUCACAUUUUGAUGAUUCAUGUUGCUGUGAAUUGCUGAGACGCCGAUGGCACGCCCUUGUUGUAUUAUUUUUACAGAUCAUAGCCCAUGUCAUGCUGCUUCACUCUUGUUUAUUCUUCCGGUUUCUUGUUCAUGUCCAUUAUCUUGAAAAUAA
This is a long non-coding RNA of Nymphaea colorata (pocket water lily), 682 nucleotides long. RefSeq lists it as uncharacterized. The transcript is spliced from 3 exons. NCBI's taxonomy places the organism in Eukaryota, Viridiplantae, Streptophyta, Magnoliopsida, Nymphaeales, Nymphaeaceae. The record is from RefSeq and is a predicted model, not a curated record.